Molecule: ribosomal RNA, 254 nt
Filed under: uncultured bacterium
Lineage: Bacteria
Description: partial 16S ribosomal RNA
Rfam family: Bacterial small subunit ribosomal RNA
Source: RNAcentral
UACGUAGGGGGCAAGCGUUGUCCGGAUUCAUUGGGCGUAAAGAGCUCGUAGGCGGCUUGGCAAGUCGGGUGUGAAAACUCCAGGCUCAACCUGGAGACGCCACCCGAUACUGCCAUGGCUUGAGUCCGGUAGGGGACCACGGAAUUCCUGGUGUAGCGGUGAAAUGCGCAGAUAUCAGGAGGAACACCGGUGGCGAAGGCGGGUCUCUGGGCCGUUACUGACGCUGAGGAGCGAAAGCGUGGGGAGCGAACAGG